Molecule: ribosomal RNA, 253 nt
Filed under: uncultured bacterium
Lineage: Bacteria
Description: partial 16S ribosomal RNA
Rfam family: Bacterial small subunit ribosomal RNA
Source: RNAcentral
GACGUAGGAGGCGAGCGUUGUCCGGAUUCAUUGGGCGUAAAGAGCGCGCAGGCGGCUUGGUAAGUCGGAUGUGAAAUCCCGAGGCUCAACCUCGGGUCUGCAUCCGAUACUGCCCGGCUAGAGGUAGGUAGGGGAGAUCGGAAUUCCUGGUGUAGCGGUGGAAUGCGCAGAUAUCAGGAGGAACACCAAUAGCGAAGGCAGCUCGCUGGGACGGUACUGACGCUAAGGCGCGAAAGCGUGGGGAGCGAACAGG